RNAcentral lists this ribosomal RNA (311 nucleotides) under uncultured eukaryote. Its description in RNAcentral is "partial 18S ribosomal RNA". It matches the Rfam family "Eukaryotic small subunit ribosomal RNA", at positions 1470 to 1796 of the family's 1831-position model. The record is from RNAcentral.
CCCCUAGACGUUCUGGGCUGCACGCGCGCUACAAUAAUACGCACAGCGAGUAUCACCGAGCUCGAAAGGGCAAGGUAAACAAUAGAAAAGGUACCGUAAUGGUUAUAGAUCCUUGUAAUUAUUGAUCUUCAACGAGGAAUUCCUAGUAAGUAUGUGUCAUCAUCACGCACUGAUUACGUCCCUGCCCUUUGUACACACCGCCCGUCGCUCCUACCGAUUGAGUGAGCCGAUGAAACUGCCGGAUGUGGACUAUUCAUAGUCUGCAGAAGAUAUUUGAAUCGUAGCGCUUAGAGGAAGGAGAAGUCGUAACA